This 924-nucleotide long non-coding RNA is filed under the name Lathyrus oleraceus (garden pea). RNAcentral's name for it is "Pisum sativum (pea) long non-coding RNA (PSAT_LNC003969)". The record is from RNAcentral. Lineage: Eukaryota; Viridiplantae; Streptophyta; Magnoliopsida; Fabales; Fabaceae.
AUCAAAUAUAUAAUGUUCAACUUUAUCGUCCUCAUAGGAGCUUAAUCCACUCUUUAAUGGUUUCCCAUUGAAAAUUUGAUAGUCUUCCAAUAAUAAUAAAAUAGAAAUUAUUUACAGAAAUUAUACAGCCAGUUGAUACAAGAUACUCCUGAAAAUAGCUAGUCUUCUUAUCUUGGUCCUCUCUUGUUGCAUACCACGUCUUCUUCGUCGAUCUUGCAUGACCCACCUGAUCACGACUUAAAUCUUUCAGAAUCACUAACUUGAUCUAAGUCUUCGUAUGUAAAUCCCUCUGAUCCCACCGAUUUUGUGAGCGAUGACUUGUCUCAAGAACACAUAAACUCUGAAUUCAUCUAUAGGGUUCCACACAGCUCUAUUGAAGUAAUCCUAGAGAAAAGACUUCUUCUUUUUCCUACUGGAUUGCCAAACUCCAGCAACACCACAAAAUCUGAAUCUUGACCUACAACUCAAGAUCUUAACAAACAUCAACAUGAAUGAACAUCCUCUACAAAUAUCCCAUAUUCCCUAUAAUUGAGAAGCAAUAAUGAUGUUAAUUUUUCCUGAGGUUAAGGAUGAUUUCAGAUGCUAAAUAUAUUUGUGAAAAGGUGUUCUCUGAAAGUGGGUUUUCAAGUUUGUAGAAAGACUUUCAAAGAUAUGAUUAUCAUCACAAUAAUCAUUCUCAUUAUUCUGGUGAGAAAUGAAAAAUGGUAAUCUGAAAAAAAAAUCUUGGUGAGGGAGAGAGGAAAAUGAUUUAUAUAUGUACUUGAGAUUAUGCACAAAAUGAGUGAAAAUAUUAUGUUUGAUCCGAGUCAAGAAAAUUUGUUGAUUUGAGUCAAGUGAACAAGUAAUGUGGAACAAGAUCAACAUAAAAGAAGUAACCCAUUUUCUUAUGAUUAGAGUCAAGUUAAAAUAAUGAUUCGAGUCAUG